RNAcentral lists this ribosomal RNA (446 nucleotides) under uncultured bacterium. RNAcentral describes it as "bacterial SSU rRNA". It matches the Rfam family "Bacterial small subunit ribosomal RNA", at positions 444 to 879 of the family's 1533-position model. The record is from RNAcentral.
GAGGAAAAGCUAGUAGUUAAUACCUGCUAACCGUGACGUUAACAACAGAAGAAGCACCGGCUAACUCCGUGCCAGCAGCCGCGGUAAUACGGAGGGUGCGAGCGUUAAUCGGAAUUACUGGGCGUAAAGCGCACGCAGGCGGUUUGUUAAGCUAGUGAAAGCCCCGGGCUCAACCUGGGAUGGUCAUUGCCUAGAACUGGCAGACUAGAGUCUUGGAGAGGGGAGUGGAAUUCCAGGUGUAGCGGUGAAAUGCGUAGAUAUCUGGAGGAACAUCAGUGGCGAAGGCGACUCUCUGGCCAAAGACUGACGCUCAUGUGCGAAAGUGUGGGUAGCGAACAGGAUUAGAUACCCUGGUAGUCCACACCGUAAACGCUGUCUACUAGCUGUUGCCUGUGGCUUUAAGCCGUGAGUAGCGAAGCUAACGCGCUAAGUAGACCGCCUGGGGA